AUUGGAGAGUUUGAUCCUGGCUCAGGACGAACGCUGGCGGCGUGCCUAACACAUGCAAGUCGCACGGGAUUGGGGGCAACUCCAGUUCAGUGGCAGACGGGUGCGUAACACGUGAGGAACCUGACCGACGGUGGGGGAUAGCCGGCCCAACGGCCGGGUAAUACCGCAUAUCCUCAUUCGGGGGCAUCCCUGGGUGAGGAAAGCAGCCGCAAGGUUGCGCCGGCGGGGGGCCUCGCGGCCUAUCAGCUUGUUGGCGGGGUAAUGGCCCACCAAGGCGACGACGGGUAGCUGGUCUGAGAGGAUGGCCAGCCACAUUGGGACUGAGACACGGCCCAGACUCCUACGGGAGGCAGCAGUGGGGAAUAUUGCGCAAUGGCCGCAAGGCUGACGCAGCGACGCCGCGUGUGGGAUGACGGCCU
RNAcentral lists this ribosomal RNA (419 nucleotides) under Gemmatimonadota bacterium. Its description in RNAcentral is "bacterial SSU rRNA". It matches the Rfam family "Bacterial small subunit ribosomal RNA", at positions 1 to 417 of the family's 1533-position model. Lineage: Bacteria; Pseudomonadati; Gemmatimonadota. The record is from RNAcentral.